This 276-nucleotide unclassified non-coding RNA is filed under the name uncultured fungus. RNAcentral describes it as "sequence contains ITS1". Lineage: Eukaryota; Fungi. The record is from RNAcentral.
CGCGGUGUCGACGGUCUCCGGGUGGUGGACUGCUCGGUGAUGCCGACGAUGGUCGCCGGAAAUCUCAACGGGCCGGUCAUGGCGAUGGCUUGGCGCGCAGCCGAUUGCAUCCUGCAGGACCGCUAGCGGGUCAGUGCGCUCCUGGCGCGCCGAUGGACUGGUCGGUACCGGCCAGUUCGUCUCCGGCGUUCUGUUCCGACGCCGCCUUCGCCGCAGCCUCAUCCUCGGUGGCCUUCUCGGCCUGACCUUCCGGGCUGGCAAGUGAGUUCCCCGGCG